Molecule: ribosomal RNA, 253 nt
Filed under: uncultured bacterium
Lineage: Bacteria
Description: partial 16S ribosomal RNA
Rfam family: Bacterial small subunit ribosomal RNA
Source: RNAcentral
UACAGAGGGUGCAAGCGUUGUUCGGAUUUACUGGGCGUAAAGCGUGCGUAGGCGGUAUUGAGAGUCAUAGGUGAAAUCCCCGGGCUUAACCCGGGAACUGCCCGUGAGACCUCAGUACUAGAGUGUGAGAGGGGAUAGUGGAAUUCCAAGUGUAGCGGUGAAAUGCGUAGAGAUUUGGAGGAACACCGGUGGCGAAGGCGGCUAUCUGGCUCACAACUGACGCUCAGGCACGAAAGCAUGGGUAGCAAACAGG